RNAcentral lists this transfer RNA (76 nucleotides) under Aeromonas veronii. Its description in RNAcentral is "tRNA-Phe". It matches the Rfam family "tRNA". Rfam says of the family: Transfer RNA (tRNA) molecules are approximately 80 nucleotides in length. Their secondary structure includes four short double-helical elements and three loops (D, anti-codon, and T loops). The record is from RNAcentral. Lineage: Bacteria; Pseudomonadati; Pseudomonadota; Gammaproteobacteria; Aeromonadales; Aeromonadaceae. RNAcentral also lists the same sequence under 1 other name.
GUGUGGAUAGCUCAGCAGGUAGAGCACUGGAUUGAAAAUCCAGGUGUCGCGAGUUCGAUUCUCGCUCCACGCACCA